GACGAACGCUGGCGGCGUGCUUAACACAUGCAAGUCGAACGGAAAGGCCCUGCUUUUGUGGGGUGCUCGAGUGGCGAACGGGUGAGUAACACGUGAGUAACCUGCCCUUGACUUUGGGAUAACUUCAGGAAACUGGGGCUAAUACCGGAUAGGAGCUCCUGCUGCAUGGUGGGGGUUGGAAAGUUUCGGCGGUUGGGGAUGGACUCGCGGCUUAUCAGCUUGUUGGUGGGGUAGUGGCUUACCAAGGCUUUGACGGGUAGCCGGCCUGAGAGGGUGACCGGCCACAUUGGGACUGAGAUACGGCCCAGACUCCUACGGGAGGCAGCAGUGGGGAAUAUUGCACAAUGGGCGGAAGCCUGAUGCAGCAACGCCGCGUGCGGGAUGACGGCCUUCGGGUUAUGAACCGCUUUCGCCUGUGACGAAGCGUGAGUGACGGUAAUGGGUAAAGAAGCACCGGCUAACUACGUG
RNAcentral lists this ribosomal RNA (468 nucleotides) under uncultured bacterium. RNAcentral's name for it is "partial 16S ribosomal RNA". It matches the Rfam family "Bacterial small subunit ribosomal RNA", at positions 28 to 507 of the family's 1533-position model. The record is from RNAcentral.